GAAUCUUAGUAGCUGAAGGCUAACUUUCAUGCUUCUGUGCAUUUUUCUGGGGAGAGGUUUAUCAGAUAUGUGAAGAGGCCACGACUCCCAAGAGACUAAGGCAGACAAAAAGAACUCUGGCUUCUGGCUCUUGGCUCGGGAGGCACAGAGAGAAGGGGAGCUUAUCCAAAUCAGAAUUCCAGAAGCUGCAGGCUUUCCCUGUGGAAAGAACUGUCCUGUGGUACCCACUGCAGCCUUGGAGACCUAGCCUCGAGAAAACUUCGAUGUCCACGCCGGCCACACGGGCUUGGAAGACAAACAAGGACCCAAGAUCAAUAUCCACGACAGCCCGGCAACGCUUAUUGUUUAAAAGGAAGCUCCCUUUGUUCUUGCGUUUUACCAAACCGGGAAGUGUGCUUGCCUCUGGGGGGUCCCCGCACCUGGCUGGAGAAGGUACCCAGGACCGCAGAUCUUCGCAUCCAAGCAGGGUCCGAAGGCCACUGAGGCAUUUCCCACCCCCAACGGUCGCUCUUCGGAGCAGGGUUUUCUCGAGGAGAGCGUAGCGGCUCCAGCGGAUCAACGCGUCUGGUGGCCCAAGCUCGGCUUCCGAUUUCAUUUAACACAAGCCGCGCAUCUUAUCUCUGCGUCCCCUCCCCGGGGUUCCCACUCCGCCCUCCCUCC
This is a long non-coding RNA of Suricata suricatta (meerkat), 660 nucleotides long. The record is from Ensembl. NCBI's taxonomy places the organism in Eukaryota, Metazoa, Chordata, Mammalia, Carnivora, Herpestidae.